GCCGAGCCUGGUUGCGAGGGCUUAUGACCCGAGUGGGGGCAUCAAAUUGAUGGAACGGGAGGUUUCGUCCUGCUGGGCUGGAUUUGGCGUGGAUUGUUCUGGGCCGCCCAUUUCAAGCAUGGAGGAAAGCCAUGGUGCUUGGGCGGAGGCCCAGGUUCCAUGGGCUUCUAGAGCGGGGGGGAACGCGUGAGGCUGGCUCGACAGAGCAACGACAACCUCCCUCUCCAUGCAGUGGAAGGAUAACGGGCCGUGCCUGUCGGAUCCAACUUGUGUCCCAGUGGGGAUGGCCCUCACCGAACCUUCAUUUUU
Molecule: signal recognition particle RNA, 309 nt
Filed under: Cucumis melo (muskmelon)
Lineage: Eukaryota; Viridiplantae; Streptophyta; Magnoliopsida; Cucurbitales; Cucurbitaceae
Also listed under: 1 other name
Description: Plant signal recognition particle RNA
Rfam family: Plant signal recognition particle RNA
Source: Rfam by way of RNAcentral